UACGUAGGUGGCGAGCGUCGUCCGGAAUCAUUGGGCGUAAAGGGAGCGCAGGCGGGAGAUUAAGUCUAUCUUAAAAGUUCGGGGCUCAACCCCGUGAUAGGAUGGAAACUAAUCUUCUUGAGUGCAGGAGAGGAAAGCGGAAUUCCUAGUGUAGCGGUGAAAUGCGUAGAUAUUAGGAGGAACACCAGUGGCGAAGGCGGCUUUCUGGACUGUAACUGACGCUGAGGCUCGAAAGCGUGGGGAGCGAACA
RNAcentral lists this ribosomal RNA (250 nucleotides) under uncultured prokaryote. RNAcentral's name for it is "partial 16S ribosomal RNA". It matches the Rfam family "Bacterial small subunit ribosomal RNA", at positions 524 to 774 of the family's 1533-position model. The record is from RNAcentral.